CCGACGGUGAGGGAUGAAAGCUAGGGGAGCAAAGAGGAUUAGAUGCCCUCGUAGUCCUAGCUGUAAACAUUGCGUGUUUGAUGUCGGCUAACCUCCGUGGUUAGCCGGUGCCGAAGUGAAAACGUUAAACACGCCGCCUGGGUAGUACGGUCGCAAGGCUGAAACUUAAAGGAAUUGACGGGGGAGCACCACAACCGGUGGGGGCUGCGGUUUAAUUAGAUCAAACGCAGCACACCCUACCAGAGCCGACAGCAGAAUGACGGUCAGCUUGAAGAGCUUACCUGACGCGCUGAGAGGAGCUGCAUGGCCGCCGUCAGCUCGUGCCGUGAGGUGUCCGGUUAAGUCCGGUAACGAGCGAGACCCGCAUCUCAUGUUGCGAUAGAUCCUUUCGAGGAUUUAGCACUCGUGAGAGACCGCUGGUGAUAAACCAGAGGAAGGAGCGGGCCACGGUAGGUCAGUAUGGCCCGAAUGCUCUGGGAUACACGCGGCCCACAAUGGCUGGAACAAAGGGAUGCCACUCCGAAAGGAGGAGCUAACCCCCUAAAUCCAGUCCUAGUACGGAUUGAGGACUGCAACUCGUUCUCAUGAAGGCGAAAUCGGUAGUAGUCGCUGGUCAUUAUCUAGCGGCGAAUAAGUCCCUGCUCCUUGCACUCACCGCCCGU
This 662-nucleotide ribosomal RNA is filed under the name uncultured Methanotorris sp. RNAcentral's name for it is "bacterial SSU rRNA". It matches the Rfam family "Archaeal small subunit ribosomal RNA", at positions 691 to 1353 of the family's 1478-position model. The record is from RNAcentral. Lineage: Archaea; Methanobacteriati; Methanobacteriota; Methanococci; Methanococcales; Methanocaldococcaceae.